CGUCUGCAUUUCGCAGUCUGCGCUCUGCAGUUACACCGUUAUAAGCUUUCGAAUUUAAAAUUUGGAAACUCACAAACAAGGUUUCCUUUUCUACAACUGUCUGCUUACGUGGUACCGUCUCGUGAUGUUAUAAAAUAUGGAUUUGCUGAUAAUUCUGGAAUUCCUGUUGGCUGUCAUCAUCAGUUUGGCUUCGAAAUUUGGAGUUCUAUUCGGAAGGAAUAUCAGCAAUACGGGAUCGUCCUUAUAUGUUCGGGUUUUUAACUACUGUUGAGUUGCAACGUUCAACGGUAAUACUUUGGCAAUUCCACGACGUAGAGAACAUCAUUCGAAGUUUGGCGUCAACACGUUAAUCGGAAUUCCAUCAACACAUUUGGCUCUUGAUAGAUCGGACUUCAGAGAUCGCAGCUUCUGAUGAAACAUAAAUUACUGCAACGCCAGAUCGGGAAUUCCUGUUCCAAACUAUUUUGGAUUUUUAUCGAAGCGUCAAAGAUUAUUCUGAGCUCGCGUUUUUGAUUGUGAUUUUGAUUUCUGCGAAGUGUGAACAGAUUCAUUUUGGGUAGUAACAUUGUUUGUUGCGUUUUGUUAUCCUGUCAUUGCGUGCAAUGCAAAAUUUGUUUGACUUUAUUGCACUUGUUCUGGAAUUCCUGGUUUUAGUACUACGACCGUAAUGUGUAGAAGUGAUCUUGAAAUUAAAAUUUCU
Long non-coding RNA from Paramacrobiotus metropolitanus, 700 nucleotides. RefSeq lists it as uncharacterized. Lineage: Eukaryota; Metazoa; Tardigrada; Eutardigrada; Parachela; Macrobiotidae. The record is from RefSeq and is a predicted model, not a curated record. The transcript has 3 exons.